This 408-nucleotide long non-coding RNA is filed under the name Struthio camelus australis. Its description in RNAcentral is "lncRNA (ENSSCUG00000012197.1)". The record is from RNAcentral. Lineage: Eukaryota; Metazoa; Chordata; Aves; Struthioniformes; Struthionidae.
GCAGCCUUCUUCCACAGGAUAAUACAUCAAGCAAGAGGAGCGGAUUGAGUGGAAGGAUUUCCCUCUGGCCUACAACAUCAUCUUUUCUGUCCAAAGAGUAACUGCAGGAGUUGGUGCCGUGUUUCAGACCCCUGCCCACAUGUUCUUCUGAUGGUCGUUACAAAGCCCAGCUAUGUGGAGGACAGGAGUUACACUUUAUUUGCUUUACGGACAGUUUCAUGUGAAAAACUUCACAGUGGUGACAAGGAGUCGUAAGUAUUGUCUUGUCACCAAAGCUCCAUCCCAGAGCAUUGUGCUGUGCUCUGCUUUGAUGUGACACUGUAAUGACAAGAGUGAUGGCUGUGGAGCUGCUCCAUGGGGAAGACUUCCCGACCUGGAAGGAGGAGAGGAAUGCUGGGCUUGUGUGUC